CUACUAUCAAGUAAGUCAACCAGUUCCUUUCCUCAUGGGGCCUUGUGUGUAAAGGCCAUGAUGAGUGCAUUCAUCCUGUUGCCUACAGGAGUUGCCCCAAGGGAUGUUGGAGACAGUU
Small nucleolar RNA from Cricetulus griseus (Chinese hamster), 118 nucleotides. Its record names the gene SNORA70. It matches the Rfam family "Small nucleolar RNA SNORA70". Rfam says of the family: snoRNA U70 seems to be exclusive to mammals and is a member of the H/ACA class of snoRNA which contain H (ANANNA) and ACA box motifs. H/ACA box snoRNAs are involved in the conversion of uridines to pseudouridines (5-ribosyluracil) a constituent of structural RNAs (transfer, ribosomal, small nuclear, and small nucleolar). Lineage: Eukaryota; Metazoa; Chordata; Mammalia; Rodentia; Cricetidae. The record is from Ensembl.